RNAcentral lists this ribosomal RNA (229 nucleotides) under uncultured bacterium. Its description in RNAcentral is "partial 16S ribosomal RNA". It matches the Rfam family "Bacterial small subunit ribosomal RNA", at positions 568 to 796 of the family's 1533-position model. The record is from RNAcentral.
UCCGUAGGCGGGCAAUUAAGUCAGAGGUGAAAUCCCACAGCUCAACUGUGGCACUGCCUUUGAUACUGGUUGUCUUGAGUUAUAGUGAAAUAGAUAGAAUAUGUAGUGUAGCGGUGAAAUGCAUAGAUAUUACAUAGAAUACCGAUUGCGAAGGCAGUCUACUAACUGUAUACUGACGCUAAUGGACGAAAGCGUGGGGAGCGAACAGGAUUAGAUACCCUGGUAGUCC